AACCGGAAACCGACACUUCCUGCUUUGCGAGUCUUUGCACUAAGGAGAAAUGUCUCUCUUUUCAACAUCUUUGCUUAAUUUGCCAAUCUUUUCUUUCGCUGCUGAGGAGGAAAUCGCAGCGGCAAAUUCUCGAACUAAUAAACUUGAAAGGAUAAAAGUUCUUCCAUGAAGAAAAUAUCCACAGCUGUCAAGACUGCAUGCUACUUCCAACUCCAGCUGCCAACUGGUCCUCCUGUACUGGCCUGCACAAGAGAUUUACAAAGAAGGCACAGAAAAAGAACAGAUAUGUUAUAGAUACUGAUGGCUGUAGGCAGG
Nematolebias whitei (Rio pearlfish) is the source of this 315-nucleotide long non-coding RNA. RefSeq lists it as uncharacterized. The transcript is spliced from 3 exons. The record is from RefSeq and is a predicted model, not a curated record. NCBI's taxonomy places the organism in Eukaryota, Metazoa, Chordata, Actinopteri, Cyprinodontiformes, Rivulidae.